RNAcentral lists this ribosomal RNA (253 nucleotides) under uncultured bacterium. Its description in RNAcentral is "partial 16S ribosomal RNA". It matches the Rfam family "Bacterial small subunit ribosomal RNA", at positions 524 to 776 of the family's 1533-position model. The record is from RNAcentral.
UACAGAGGUCUCAAGCGUUGUUCGGAUUCAUUGGGCGUAAAGGGUGCGUAGGCGGGUCUUUAAGUCAGGGGUGAAAUCCUGGAGCUCAACUCCAGAACUGCCUUUGAUACUGGCGAUCUUGAGUCCGGGAGAGGUGAGUGGAACUGCGAGUGUAGAGGUGAAAUUCGUAGAUAUUCGCAAGAACACCAGUGGCGAAGGCGGCUCACUGGCCCGGUACUGACGCUGAGGUGCGAAAGCGUGGGGAGCAAACAGG